AUUGAACGCUGGCGGCAGGCUUAACACAUGCAAGUCGAGCGGAGAUGAGGUGCUUGCACCUUAUCUUAGCGGCGGACGGGUGAGUAAUGCUUAGGAAUCUGCUUAUUAGUGGGGGACAACAUUCCGAAAGGAAUGCUAAUACCGCAUACGUCCUACGGGAGAAAGCAGGGGAUCUUCGGACCUUGCGCUAAUAGAUGAGCCUAAGUCGGACUAGCUAGUUGGUGGGGUAAAGGCCUACCAAGGCGACGAUCUGUAGCGGGUCUGAGAGGAUGAUCCGCCACACUGGGACUGAGACACGGCCCAGACUCCUACGGGAGGCAGCAGUGGGGAAUAUUGGACAAUGGGGGGAACCCUGAUCCAGCCAUGCCGCGUGUGUGAAGAAGGCCUUAUGGUUGUAAAGCACUUUAAGCGAGGAGGAGGCUACUGAGACUAAUACUCUUGGAUAGUGGACGUUACUCGCAGAAUAAGCACCGGCUAACUCUGUGCCAGCCGCCGCGGUAA
RNAcentral lists this ribosomal RNA (501 nucleotides) under uncultured bacterium. RNAcentral's name for it is "partial 16S ribosomal RNA". It matches the Rfam family "Bacterial small subunit ribosomal RNA", at positions 30 to 523 of the family's 1533-position model. The record is from RNAcentral.